RNAcentral lists this long non-coding RNA (534 nucleotides) under Coccomyxa subellipsoidea. Its description in RNAcentral is "long non-coding RNA (CSUB_LNC000127)". The record is from RNAcentral. Lineage: Eukaryota; Viridiplantae; Chlorophyta; Trebouxiophyceae; Coccomyxaceae.
UUGCAGAUGGCGUUCCCUCGCAACAAGUGCGCCAGAACGGCCGCCGCGCGCGCCGUCGCCGGAGCGCUCGGGCCGAAAAGAGCGCCCACCAGCUCGCCGCCAAACGUGCCGACCCGGCCUGCAGAGGUACCGAAAAUUCCGGGCUGAACGCAACCAACAGGGGACUUUGCAAUUCGAGGGUUCUUUAUUUUCAAACACCAGAUUGCACAAGUAGCCAAGGUGAAGCUGCGGCACGGCCCGUGAAAUGCAAAUGGGCCUUAUCAGUCGGCUGCGCUAUUGUGACCUAAAAAAAAGCAGAGUUACAGCGUUGCUAUGUGUCAGCUCAAGAGCCUGCAUAGCGCACGUGAGUGGGGUGCAACAGGAAGAAUUUGCAGGGCAGGAAGGCGGCACCUUCUGAUUGGUCGGCAUGCGUGUCUCCCACGGGUGCCAGAGUGGCUGCCAGCAUGCGUUGGCCCUCGCUGUUGUCCCGGCAGAACGCCUGCAGGACAUGCUCUGCAGCGGCUGCCUCCUUUGCAUCCGCCGCCCUCAAGGCCG